This is a long non-coding RNA of Arabidopsis lyrata subsp. lyrata, 570 nucleotides long. RefSeq lists it as uncharacterized. The record is from RefSeq and is a predicted model, not a curated record. The transcript has 2 exons. NCBI's taxonomy places the organism in Eukaryota, Viridiplantae, Streptophyta, Magnoliopsida, Brassicales, Brassicaceae.
UCUAUUCUUCCCUUCUUCCUUGAUUCUUCCCUUCUCCUUACCUCUCAUUUACCUAUUCACUCUUUUCCUAUGAUUAUACACCCCUAGAUCUAUUGGAUUUUAUCAAUUUCUAUCACUCUUUGUCAUUCUCGCUCUUAUCCCCAAAUUCUUCUUCUUCUUAAAUUCUAUGAAUUCUUCAUCCUUCAUCUUCUUCGCUCGUCCAGAUCCCCUAAACCAUAGCUAUUGAUUUCGUUGGCCAAGAACCCCAAAACAUCUUCGUCGCAGAAGCUUUUGGCCGGAGUGGAGUGGUUUAUGUUCUGAUGAUGCUUUUCAUGCCCUCCAGGUGUUCGACGAAUUGCCUCAUUAUUGGCUUGGUUGUUUCUUAACUGUUUUGUGUUGAUUUAGGUUUUGUGUUGUUGCUGUUAAAACUUGCAGGUGCUUACCGUUUCGUUUGUUUCUAUACAACGGUUUUAUGCACUCCACAGAGUCUUACUUAGUAGACAUGUUUUGUUUUUGUUGUUGUGAGGGUGUCUUGAUUUUGGUUUCCAAGUGAGUUUGAAUAAAUUUGUGGCAAAAAGUUUCAGAAAACAA